RNAcentral lists this ribosomal RNA (220 nucleotides) under uncultured bacterium. RNAcentral's name for it is "partial 16S ribosomal RNA". It matches the Rfam family "Bacterial small subunit ribosomal RNA", at positions 524 to 743 of the family's 1533-position model. The record is from RNAcentral.
UACAGAGGUCUCGAGCGUUGUUCGGAUUCAUUGGGCGUAAAGGGUGCGUAGGCGGCGGGGCAAGUCUGAUGUGAAAUCCCGGGGCUCAACCCUGGAACUGCAUUGGAUACUGCCUUGCUAGAGUACUGGAGAGGAAACUGGAAUUUACGGUGUAGCAGUGAAAUGCGUAGAGAUCGUAAGGAAGACCAGUGGCGAAGGCGAGUUCUCGGACAGUAACUGA